This 835-nucleotide long non-coding RNA is filed under the name Sparus aurata (gilthead seabream). RNAcentral describes it as "lncRNA (ENSSAUG00010018993.1)". The record is from RNAcentral. Lineage: Eukaryota; Metazoa; Chordata; Actinopteri; Spariformes; Sparidae.
AGACGGCCAUCUUUGGAUCAGCCAUAUGGAUGAUUAACGGGUUUAAGAGUGGAAAGGAAGGAGUUUUUGAACAUACGCUGUGUUUUAGACUAAAUAUUUUCCUGUAGUAGAUCUACUGGAUGUUUGGGAGUAAGAGACGACACAAAAUUUGCAGCUGAAUGUUUGCUUGUCUGGAGGACGAGCUGCCUGACAACACGACACCAGCAGCCGCUCCGUCUCCGAGUGUUUGCUCUUCCUGAUCCUCUAACCGCCGAGGCUCCGGUGACUUCUGGGUACAUACGGCCAGACGGAGACUCGGAUCCUCGUGGAGCUCUGCAAACAGCCAACACUGACGAGAUGAAGCACCUCAGAGGGGAAUCACCCAACCAAUCUCUGUAGCUAUACUGGAUACUAUACUGUUACCUGAACCACCAGGACUCAGCUCUGUCUUUAAUAUACCACAGCAGUGUUUGUUAUCACUGUAAUAAUUAGAAAUGGACGAGAGGGAUUAUACUUAACUGUGAAUUAAAGGUGUAAUUUGCAGAAUAUGCUCCAAAAACAUACAGUUACUGACAACUGAUUACCUUUGCUAACUAUCUACUUUUAGCUAAUUAGCUAAUAGCUCGUUUAGCAUCUAAGCCAAUGGCCCAAGAGUUCGUCUGGGUCAGAACUUUGUCACUACCACCUCAGGUCAACUGGGUUUGGCUGCAAACUCCGACCUCCGAAGUCCGACGGAGGUCCGUUUGACAACAGGGGAUAAACUACAGAGGUGAUUUACAGCAGGUGUGACCAGGACUAUUCCUUCAGGGAGGACAAAACAUCAGCAUCAGUUUAAAUAAAACGUGUUUUUUGAUGA